RNAcentral lists this ribosomal RNA (497 nucleotides) under uncultured bacterium. RNAcentral's name for it is "partial 16S ribosomal RNA". It matches the Rfam family "Bacterial small subunit ribosomal RNA", at positions 28 to 507 of the family's 1533-position model. The record is from RNAcentral.
GAUGAACGCUGGCGGCGUGCCUAAUACAUGCAAGUCGAGCGAACAGACGAGGAGCUUGCUCCUCUGACGUUAGCGGCGGACGGGUGAGUAACACGUGGAUAACCUACCUAUAAGACUGGGAUAACUUCGGGAAACCGGAGCUAAUACCGGAUAAUAUAUUGAACUGCAUGGUUCAAUAGUGAAAGACGGUUUUGCUGUCACUUAUAGAUGGAUCCGCGCCGCAUUAGCUAGUUGGUAAGGUAACGGCUUACCAAGGCAACGAUGCGUAGCCGACCUGAGAGGGUGAUCGGACACACUGGAACUGAGACACGGUCCAGACUCCUACGGGAGGCAGCAGUAGGGAAUCUUCCGCAAUGGGCGAAAGCCUGACGGAGCAACGCCGCGUGAAUGAUGAAGGUCUUCGGAUCGUAAAACUCUGUUAUUAGGGAAGAACAAAUGUGUAAGUAACUAUGCACGUCUUGACGGUACCUAAUCAGAAAGCCACGGCUAACUACGUG